Molecule: ribosomal RNA, 500 nt
Filed under: uncultured bacterium
Lineage: Bacteria
Description: partial 16S ribosomal RNA
Rfam family: Bacterial small subunit ribosomal RNA
Source: RNAcentral
AUUGAACGCUGGCGGCAUGCCUUACACAUGCAAGUCGAACGGCAGCACGGGAGCAAUCCUGGUGGCGAGUGGCGAACGGGUGAGUAAUGUAUCGGAACGUGCCUAGUUGUGGGGGAUCACGUAGCGAAAGCUACGCUAAUACCGCAUAAGAUCUAAGGAUGAAAGCGGGGGAUCGCAAGACCUCGCGCAGUUAGAGCGGCCGAUAUCAGAUUAGGUUGUUGGUGGGGUAAAGGCCUACCAAGCCUGCGAUCUGUAGCUGGUCUGAGAGGACGACCAGUCACACUGGGGCUGAGACACGGCCCAGACUCCUACGGGAGGCAGCAGUGGGGAAUUUUGGACAAUGGGCGCAAGCCUGAUCCAGCAAUGCCGCGUGCAGGAUGAAGGCCUUCGGGUUGUAAACUGCUUUUGUACGGAGCGAAACGGUUAUCCCUAAUACGGAUGGCUAAUGACGGUACCGUAAGAAUAAGCACCGGCUAACUACGUGCCAGCCGCCGCAGUAA